GCAUAUGCUAUGCUAUGCUUGAGUACAUUUGUUCAAUACAUACAUAUGAGGUAGAACAGUAGAACCACUGUCAUUAUUCUAGUAGUGCCUCACAAUGACAGAAGAGAGAGAGCAUGCUGAUGGGAAAACAAUUACAACUUUUGAUCAUCUGAUCUGGAAAUGCUUGUAAGCGGC
RNAcentral lists this non-coding RNA (174 nucleotides) under Vitis vinifera (wine grape). Lineage: Eukaryota; Viridiplantae; Streptophyta; Magnoliopsida; Vitales; Vitaceae. The record is from RNAcentral.